Molecule: ribosomal RNA, 440 nt
Filed under: uncultured bacterium
Lineage: Bacteria
Description: partial 16S ribosomal RNA
Rfam family: Bacterial small subunit ribosomal RNA
Source: RNAcentral
ACUACGGGGGGCAGUAGUGGGGGAUAUUGAACAAUGGGGGGAACCCUGAUGCAGCGACGCCGCGUGGGUGAAGAAGCGCCUCGGCGCGUAAAGCCCUGUCAGCAGGGAAGAAAAUGACGGUACCUGAAGAAGAAGCCCCGGCUAACUACGUGCCAGCAGCCGCGGUAAUACGUAGGGGGCAAGCGUUAUCCGGAUUUACUGGGUGUAAAGGGGGCGCAGACGGCGAUGCAAGCCAGGAGUGAAAGCCCGGGGCCCAACCCCGGGACUGCUCUUGGAACUGCGUGGCUGGAGUGCAGGAGGGGCAGGCGGAAUUCCUGGUGUAGCGGUGAAAUGCGUAGAUAUCAGGAGGAACACCGGUGGCGAAGGCGGCCUGCUGGACUGCAACUGACGUUGAGGCCCGAAAGCGUGGGGAGCAAACAGGAUUAGAUACCCCUGUAGUC